Gasterosteus aculeatus aculeatus (three-spined stickleback) is the source of this 9887-nucleotide long non-coding RNA. NCBI's taxonomy places the organism in Eukaryota, Metazoa, Chordata, Actinopteri, Perciformes, Gasterosteidae. The record is from Ensembl.
CAAAUGCACUGUGAUGGACAAUGUGUCUCUAAAUGAAACAAAAUAAAGUAGUGAGUUUAUUGUGAUGUAGAAACGUGUCAGUCAAUGUAUUUUUUUCUGUUUUGGGGCAAAACAGGUAUGUGGCAAUGAGGAAGAAGAUACAUCAGGCUUUGCACCCACAAUAUUUGAGCUGAUAAGAUGAAUUUAUUUAAAUAUACGUAUCUACUUGCCUACAGAUCUUAUGUGACCAAAUGUUCCUUUUAAGGGGAAGAAAAAACAAAUGAGCCAAUAACGGCUCUGAAUAUUGCCUGUAGCCUUAUCUUUACAUUAAACCUUUGUGCUGGCGGUGAGAAGACAAUGCUGGGCAUCAGUCCGAGUCGGCCGGUCUGUGAUUACUUUAACAAAUAGCAUUCACCAUUCAAGUCAACAGAAAGGUUUUCACUGACAGCUAGCAUGACAAAAGGUCAGCGGCAGGCUCAGCACUGCUAAUUAAGUCCAAUUGGUGAAUGUCAGAUCCACAAAGGGCAACGCUAAUCCCCAGCCCUCUGCUGUGUGUGUGUGUGUGUGUGUGUGUGUAAUGAGUAGAGGUGUUGGGAGAAUCCUCUGCACUAAGGCAGUAUGUACAUUCAGUGUACAUGUACUCCAAAAGCAAAGGGACGGUUAAGCACCGAAGCGAUCAGUGAGGAUCAGUUCAAAUAAAUUGUUUUUGUGACAUCAUCAUAUUUGCCAUCUGCAGCACUCUUUUCUACCUAAUUGUUUACAUGCCUCUACGGACAGAAAGAAAGGCCCAGAUAAUACACUUUUUUCAUUUGACAGUUGCAUUUCAAUUAUCCAUACCUAGCAUAAGAAAACCGUUGGCAGGGAUAAAAAUAGUUUUUGUUCUUAAUGUUUUAGCCAAAUUAUCAUUUAAAAGUAAAAAAGACUUAGAGCAAAAGCUCUAUAGAGCCAAUAUAGCUAUUUUACACCUUAUCUCUUCUCCUACUUGUUUCUUUAAUCAGUGAAUACAUAACCUUCAUAUAUAUCCGUGAAGUUCAAAAGAUAUUAGAAUCUGACCAAAGCACAAAGCCGCUGUGGAACUAUAAUCGAGUGCGUUUAUACAAUCUCCCGCGGUUUUGAAGCAGAAAUGCAGAUUGAGUAAUUUUCCAGUCUUCUCCCUCUCUUUUCACGGUCUCCAGGCGGCCGUGGGAGGAUAUGUGCAUCGGUGCAAUGUUUGAUUAGCACGUCUCUCCGGGGAUGUGUGUGUCUGCGACAGUGCGGCCACAAGUAGCUUGUAAUGAGCCCCAGCGGUGGCCCUUCAGUCUCCCUGCCUAUUGAUCAUUACCCCGCUGUCACACUUUCAUUUCCAACCAAAAACUACCUGUUGCAAUGAGAGGCGGGUCAGAUCUCCGGUUACUGGCCGUUCAUGUGACAUCAAAUACCUAGUGCCGCCUGAUGUGGUAAAGUCUGGGUUUGAUGAUGCAAGCGCCGGAGCAGCGGGGUACCGCUAACUAUUAAGAUGUCUAAAACUCAGAAACCAGUCUGAGGGUUGACACCAAACUAGUAUAAUGGGACAACACUGGCUUUCACGUUGAGAUUGCUCAUGGUGGACAACCCGUGACGUAUGAUCCGCCGGGGUUUAAUACAAAGGCGUCCAAUAACAACAUUGACAUGUACUUGAUGCCAGCGUACAAGGCAGCCUUUAACGUCUAUAGAUGAAGCAGUUUGUGUCUGGAUCUUUUGACCUUUUAUUUAAAACUCCAGAAACAGCAGGCAGAGUAGCGGUAAGACAAAGGGCGGGUGGGUUUACCGGGAGUUGGGCUGGCGGGUUAAACAGGAACAGGCAGAGUCGGCAACAGGUGAUCCGUCUUGAAAUAAGCGCUGGAGAGUCAGUGAGUGUCUGGGGUUUAAACACUGAGGUAGUGGGUUGGGUAGACAGGUGAGUGUGAUCGGGCUGACAAGGUGAAUGUGACUAGCAGGUGUACAGACUGACCUGAUUAGGUGGAGUGAGGGGGAUGUGGAGCUAAAGUGUGAUAAUAAAAAACACAUCAUACCCAAAAGUAAAUCCACAUCCACACCAUUAUUAAAUCGUUACAGCAAAGGAUAAAGUACGAGCAGCAACAAGCAUGAUAGAACUUUCGCUGCGGCCUCUUUACCAGUUUACAGCCUCGUGUUGCAAAGCUAACCGCCAAAGCUACCGAUGCGUAAUGUUAACGCCGCCGUUUCCCAACAACAACCAGGUGUUGCAACACGUUAACCAACAUACAUUGUGUAAUACCUUAGGAAAUUAAAUAGCAAAGAAACUAAAUUAUUUAAAAUAUUUAAAAUAAUAAGUAAUAAUGAUUACAAUGGUUACAUUAAAACGCUAUAUAAAAAAAGUGCUGUACGAAAAUGAAAUUGGGCUACAGUGAAAUACAUUUAAACAGUGUGAACAUGUGACUCUCCGGAGCGUCAGUGUCUUCGGGCAUUAACCGAAAACCAAUAAGCAUUGCAGAGUACUAUAAAUGACAAGUAGCGCGCAAGCCGGAAAAGUCAAUUGAUUGAAAAUGAAACAUAUAAAACCAAGCCAAAUUUCAGUAUAUGAUAUUUAUUUUUUGUUUGAUGGAUUUGGACAAUUUGUGGACCAUGGAAACAGGAAGCGUCAUUGUUAUCUAGGUAAGAGUUCUCUGGACCAAUUUCCUUAACCCUGAAAAAUAAAAAGUGACGAGUUGGAGAAUUUAAAUCUUGCGAUCACAUUAGGAACAAGAAUAACAGCAAAUUGGCUCCAAUAUAUAACUCGUCGUUACUGCUUGUCAUACUGUACUACAACUGCACAGAAUCUCUUGUUUUCUGUUGUUUCUCUAUUGGAGAAGAGAUGUCUAUGGCUGAAAUCUUUUUUUCUGUUUUGUUGAUUUUAUUUUGUCCUGUUUGUACUUUGAGUUACUACCAUUGAUGGUUAUUAUCUUCAUGUGAUUCAUAUUUGUCAUGUGAGGUUUCUUUGUUUUGGCCUUUUUCCUGGUUAACAAAAACUCAGACAAAGUAACAGUUAAAUAUCAACUUAUUCCACAAGAAUCCUGUAUUUUUCCAAUACAGGAUAUGUCUUUCUGUUGGAUGAUGAUUUAUUGGUCACUGUAAUCGUUCUUUCUGCUCAUACCACACUUGAGAAAAUAUCUUCAUGCCAUGAUCUAAAUCCAAAGAGAUGGUGAAAAAUAUCGACCUUCCAUAUUCCACGCAAAGAGGGCCUAAGCUGUUGUCAAGUAAUGGAAACGUUGAAGUGCCCUCCGAUCCACAUGCUAAAUUACAUCUUUUGCAGCCAUUGCCAGUGGAUUGUGCUGUUAUUUACUGUUGUUUGAUUGGUUUUCUUCUUGGAGAGGAAGGGGCCGGGGUCCUCUGGAUACGAUGAAGGUGGGGAAACUGGAGGAUAAUGAAACGACCACCAACCCCGAUGGACAAUCCCGCCCACCUCAUACAGGACGCCCUGCCUGGUUCGUGCAGCCCCCCGGUGUGAGAAGAAAAGGUAUCACAGGUCCUUUCUUCCUGCUGCUGUCUAUCUUUGCUCCUAGACCAACAAAUCUGUGGAAUACUGCAAUAAAUACUUAAUAUAUAAAUAAGUAUAAAUAUUUAAUUUUAGUUACUGUUUAAAAUCAUAUUAUCAUUUUUUUUUUAUAUUUUCUUUUAUUACUGCUAUUUCUAUCUGUUUUGAUCUGUUUUCUACCACGUCUCUGUGUGCUCUUUAUCUUUGCUGCCAUGAUCCUGUACAUCUCUCCGCUGCGGGACAAAUAAAGGCUUAUCGUAUAUCUUGUCCCACCAGUGUUGUGAGUAAAGGCUUCUCUCUGUUCGGGCUCUGGAGCGGUGGGAUGAGCUGCUGUCAGGAGUAAAGACAGCGCAGUCAUAUGCCAAAUCAGGCUACAGCUUACUACUAUACAAUAUAUUUUGCUCAUGUUUGAUUUCUAAAGGGCUUUCUGAACAGCUCUUAAGAAUUUGAGGAUGGCCUACCAAUUUUUGAUGAAUGCUGAAGCUAUUCAGUGAACUCAUUAACAAGGCCGUAUGAAAAAUUGCAUUAAGUGCAAUAAUAACUCAUACACGGGUGAUUUAAAAGUCAUGAAAACACGUUGAGCUUCAUUCUAGACCCUGGAAAAGGUACAAAAACUCAAACCUCUCAACUAACUGUUGAGCUUUCAGAUAGGAUCAACAAUAUUGGAAUGAAAAAAAUGUAAAAAAUCGUAUGGUAUAUUCAUGAGACAUCUUAAUAUGAUUAUGAGUUAGAACCUGGUCAAUAAAUUAUUCGUUCAUAAACCAGUGAGGAUACUUCAGAAAGCGUUGUAUUUCUGAAUACAUCCAUUAAAACACACUUUAUAGAGUUAUUAUAUCAAGUGCUGGGGAACAAAUACUUUUUUCAAUUGUGAUUAAUUGCAUGAUUAUUUGUGAUUAAUGCGAUGAAUUGCAUUGUUAUGUGCAAAAUUCAAUUACAAGUGCGCACUUUCAUUUAUGCAAACACUUAGAAACAAAAGGUGCUUUUUAACAGCAUAAGUCCCUGUACACGCUAGAAAUUAAAGUAUUUCUUUAAGACUGCUGCCUUUCUCAUUUUUCUGCACCCUGCUGCAGCAGUCUUAGGCCCGCCUCCCAAUGCUCUCAUUGGUUGAGAGGUGUGAUGGUGCCCCUCCCAAGCCAAUACUGAUCAACACCCCAUUCAUCUGAUCCAAGGAUUGUCUGUAUGUGCAUUCCGAGCCAGUCAGCAACUGACUUUCAGAGUAACGUUCAUUUUUAAAAAUGCGUGAGAUGAAUAAUUAAUGCAUUUUUGUUCAUGUGCUCAUGAAUAGUUUUAAUUUCUACGUUUCAAAAAAUGAUUUCCAUAGCUUCAGUAUUAUAAUUCAAUAAUUGAUUAAUUCAUAAUCAUGACAUAUUGUCAUCAAAGGCUUUUAUAUACAGCCGCAGUAGGUUUUUGUACAACCAGCCUUGUGGUAAAAACGUGUAGCACACGCACACAACAUAGGAGCAGCACAAUAAUAAAAUACCACCAAACACAUCAAUACAAAAGUCUACACACCAAAUGCACAAAGUAUUCAGCCGAGACCUAGACCAGUGCACACAUAUUUACACAAAAAUAUAGACACAUCCAGUUGCUGCAGCACAAAGAUACACACACACAUAAAUGCACCUAAUUUCCAUGACAAUUAAAGCGGCGGUGUUGGAUGUAGGAGCGUAUUUGCACAGCAGGAGGCUAAUGUGGAUCCCUGCAUGCUAGCCAGGUGGCCCAGUCCUCCUACUCAGCCACCAACGCUUUGGGUUAGGGAGGGAGAAAAUGAGGGGCUUAUUGUCGGGAUAAGCAUGUAGAACAUCUGAAGACAAUUCUCUUUUAUUGUUCUAAAGUUGAUGAUGUAUUUCACAGUGAAAUUGAACUGUCAGGGGAACAUUAUCACAACAGUUGGGUCUGCGUUUAGUGAUAAAUGUACAGCCGUAGGUUGAUACGUUAUGGAAAUCUAUAAAUAUUGAGACGCUGCACAUCUGCUAAAGAAAUAGUUUGAAUGGAAUGUUGCCCCUGUAUUAGCAUCUGUGUUUAGUCCAAGGGAUUUGAGCACUAGAAUGAAGCACUUUGAAUUGCCUUAUUUGUUGAAAUGUGCUAUACAAAUAAAAUUGCCUUGCCUAGAGUGACAAGAGGCCCUUCUCCACUGCAAUCUCUCCUGCCAAGAUUCCAAUUCAAGUCAUUAGGCCGUAAUGUUGUUAUCAGAACAAAUAUGUUUAUGGAUGAGAUUUGGAAGUGAUUCCAGUGGGCUAUGUGCCGAGGCUUGCUGCUGUCCAUGACCUGCCGUUUCACUCUGUCUCCGAUCAUUCAGUCUUCCUAGAUGCAUCAUUGGCCACUGAGCUCAUAGAGGACAGUGAAGUGGAACCAAGAUUCCUUCAGAGCUGACUGAAAAUCCUCCCUCCAUCUCAUCCUACCAAACUUUAGCAUUCCAGCAGAGUAGCAGACCGCACUUUAUCUGCUGUGCUCCUAGGUCAACCAUGGCCGCUAUCAGGAAGUGGACCCAAUGCACUUAUCCCUUAUAAAAUGUAAUAAAGGCCACACAUUCUAUCACCGUCGGUUUAAAAUGGCCGGUGUGGUAAAUCCAAAGUAUCCUAAAGACGUUUGUGAUUAAGUAUUUACUACUAACUACUAAUACAGUAGGAAAAGAAUACAUAAAUCAAAACAAUUGGGAAGUACAGACAGAAGUCCCACAUUUUGGGUUCAUUUGUCAUGACUCUAUACAUCAAACAUAGGUAGUGAACAUUUUGUGUUUUAUGUCAAGUCAACCCAGGGGACAGGUUCAUUUCUCAUUGUAAAUUCAAAAAGAUGUUUGCUCCUGUAAGAGGUCCGGUCCUGUUUCAGGUUUCAUCAUAUUAUCUAACCACUAACCACUAACUUUUUUUGUUAGGAUUCUUGAUAUUGGACGUAUCAAAAUAAGAAUCUCCAAAAAUCACCUUUGGGCAUAAAAUAAACUAAAAUCUUUUAGGUUCACUACAAAGUCCUUGAUCUGAAACUGCAGAAGGGCAUCAAGCAGCGACCAGAUAUAGAUAGACAGAUUGUGAUUUGCCUUUGCAAAUGCUUAGAAGCUGCAGUUGGACCUCCGGCCACUCCGCCUGUCCCCACUGGGAGACAAUACCGGUGGGCAAAGGCCAUAUUGCUAGGUGUAAAGAGAAAGGGAGGCACUGGGAAACCAGAAUCAUGGCCGUUCAGGGCAGACUGUCAAACCUUAUUUCAACAAUAUUACCAUAUUACUGGAUCUCAGUAAUGGAAUUUGUCCAGAAUUGACAACUCGAAUAUGGCUCAGUAGUAGAGUAGGGUCGUCCUUUUAUCAAAGGGUCAGAGCUCAAUCAGGGGAUUGGUUGUGUGAUCCCCGGGAAAAACAAAUCCCCAUUUGUUCCAGAAUGCUGUGCUGGCGGUGUGUGAAUGGUAGUUCAUCACUCAAGGUCCAUUUGGGGACUCCUUGUUUCUUCGAUGGCCAACAAAAACGUCUUUUAGGAUUUUGUUUUUAACCUUGAUAGACGGGAAGCUAAUGUCUCUCCAAAAGAGCUUGGUUCCACUGGAUAGAUUUUUGCUCCCGCUCCCUCUCUCUAAAUUUGCAACAAUUUCAGCAUAACGCCGUCAUGAUUAUUCCCAACAAUGACCCAGCUAGUGCUCUGGUGCUCACCCUGGCCGUGUGCAUUCCCUGCUGUCAGUCUAUCCUGAAGGGUCCUCCAGCCUGGACUACAGCUGGUCUAUUCUUAGCACCCAUCCAUACUUAAGUUGGAUGGCAAUAUGAAAAAGAAUGAAUCAACCUAAAAGUCAAUUCAGUUUCCACUUAAUUGCAUUAUUCUAUUGAUUGGAGGCUAAUUGUCUUACAUCCUUAAUUUGUUCAGCUUCUAUUAAUGACAUUUUUCUUUUUGGUAUGUCAUACGCUCUAGUGGCUCGUCUCAGCUCAAGAGACUGCAUGUUGCCGUUGAGCCUGCGUUUCUGAAUAUGCAGUGAUCUAAUGAACUUCCCGGUAUACGACCCUAAAACCUCCAUGGUUCAUUUCCGGCUCCCAUUGUCACUUUAGAGGUAAAUUUCAGACGUACAACUACACGUUCGCUAUAACUGAAGCUGACUGAAUCUACAUUGUUGCAGCCCCAAGGAAUUGUGGUGCCGAAUGAUCUACUUUCCUUUUCGAAAAGGGAAGUCCAGUGUUUCCUAUGCUAAAGGAUGCUAAUAAAGGAGGCAUUGAAGCACCUGUUCCAUGUAUAGAAUUGAAACAGCUCUUAUCACCGUGGCUUUCACUGAGUUAGAAACCUUCCUGACCGAAAAGGACUAUUUGACCCCAGAACUGCUCUCCCUUCCAAGUCUCUCGCCUCCCCCUCUCCACACACUAUAAAUAAUGCAGAGCGGGGCGAUCCCUGGUGUUGUGAAGUGCUUGUUAAUGGCCUCGCUAAUUGCAAUAAACAGGAGUGGUGUUUCAGCGCUCUAACAGGCACAAUACUCCUAAUUAGAAUGGCUGGGCCUGAUGGGACAGUGGGAAAAUAGGGGAAGAAGGAGCGAGACAAAGAGUGAAAGAAAGAGAGGGCAGAAUGAUAAGAGCAAAAACGGGGAGGUCAAACUGAAAAAUGCCAAAGUGCUAAAACGGAGGGAGGAUGUUUUUAAAGAAAGACGCUUACCAAAAAGAGGGGAGGAGGUGUUGGGUUGAGGCAAGAGGGUAGCGCCAAAUGUAAGAGCCAAGUAGGAUAGAGCAAGAAAGAAGGAAAAGGUCACAUAAUAUCUGAUCAGAGAUCUGAAUGUAGGGCGAGAGAAGGUGGAAGACAAGAAGACAAAGAGGUCUUCAUCCUUUCGUCGACUGAUCACAAGCCCUGUUUGGACUGAAACUGCUAAUGCGAACACACAAUCAUAAUGGCCAUAUCAGUUUUCAAAUCAUGCAUUCAAUGUACACUUAAAUGAUCAAAGUAAAGCACCCUGAAGUAAAGAGUUUGAUACAUAUCAUUUCAAAUCCCAUAAUUAAUAACAUUUGUGGUUGCUAUAAUUUUCAGCAAUAGCCUUUUGAUGGAUACCAUUUUGGACUAAUUUUGCCAUUCCCGUGGAUCAUUUAGACACAGGCGUGCCAUAGUAAACAAUACAGCACGUAUUUCAACUAGGGGUGUCAACAUUACAUUACUAUGCGAUUAAUGUGGCCGAGAUUAAUGUGAUAAAAUAUUUUAACCCAGCUUUGUGUACUUCUGCUCUUCCGGAAGUAAACAAAGUUUACCCCGGAAACAAAAUGCCUCUGGCAGUAAGUAAGACAAACAGAGGUGCGACAUGGAGCGGAGAACUGUGCAGAGGAAUUCCUCCAUGUGUCAAACAAAAAGGGGGGUGAGUGGCAAACGGACCACUUUACAGACCGCUAGGCUAAGCUAGCUGCUAGGCUACUUCCAUCUCAAUAUCUACCCUGCAGAGGACAACCACUGGGUUAAAAAAAAACGAUCAAUUGCGAUUAAUGUAUUUCAAAAUGUGCUAUAAAUGUUACAUUUUUUUAAUUUAUUGCCAGCCCUAAAUACAACGUUACAGGUGGUAAUUUGAGGUAAUUAAUUGAAUGCUUCUUCAAUAUCGGCACAAAGCCAUAUUUGAGCUGUAUUAGUCUUGGUUUGUCUAAAACAGGGGUCUCAAACUCAAAUCAGCUGCGGGCCAGAUGCCGUCCACUUCGACCGCCCGCGUGCCAGACCACUACGGUCGAGGGGGGGUGGCGACGCUGACGGUCCGACCCGAGAAUAAUAUGGUUUGCUGACUCAGAUACGCAAUAGUUAGUUUGGUUGGAAUUCAACCAGUCAAUCAAACUUAAUUGAACUUGAAUAUUUGUGUAGGGAAGGAUUUGUAUCCAAGAAUGCGCACAAACUCAGUAUCUCAGAUUGGAGAGUCAAACAUAUUGUUACGGUGUGGGGUAUUUUCCUGUUUUAUUUUGCAGUUUUGCAGUUUCAUGUCCCCGGGUUGACUUCACUUCCUGCCCUGGUGUGAUUUCCCCUGUGAGUGUGAUCUGCCGUGUCCCUGAUUGUUUCCUGCUGUGUCCCAGUGUAUUUCAACCGUGUGUCUCCUUGUCGGUUCAUUGUCUUGUCUUUGGUGAUGUUACUGUAAAUUAUACAUCAUGUAGCUUUACCCUGCAACCUUAGUUUAUUAUUGAUUUCAAGUGUUUUUCUGUCUGGAAAACCACAGGUCUGCGUUUGAGUCGUGAUUCCCGGCUGACGAAUGUGACACAUGUGAAACGUUAGAACUUUAAUGUACACUGCGUGGUCACACAUGCUCAUACGUGGACCAAAGAACAGCCAAACACUUUCUCCACUAAUGAUGGCGUCCUGUGUUUGAUGCAGUACGGAGCGGAACCAUUGUGUGGUUUAUUGGCUGAGCAUUUGACACUUUGAUGUCUGCAGGGUCCUUAUGAUUCAUCUAUAUUGUAUUCAAUUUAAAAAUGACAAUGUCCACAGCUUUUUGGUAUUUGGAGUUA